AUUCCAGCUCCAAUAGCGUAUGUUAAAGUUGUUGCAGUUAAAAAGCUCGUAGUUGGAUUUCUGACAGGGGGCCGAACACCACUGUAGUGAGUGUUUUGGUACCUGUCAUCCUUCUGUUAACCCUAGCGUCAUUCAUUUGUCGUUGGGCGGACCAGAUACUUUACCUUGAGAAAAUUAGAGUGUUUCAGGCAGGCCUAGCCGGAAUACAUUAGCAUGGAAUAAUGGAAUAGGACUAUAGUCUCGUCGUUGAUUACGUGGACUGCAGUAAUGAUUAAUAGGGAUAGUUGGGGGCAUUAGUAUUUAUUAGCUAGAGGUGGAAUUCUCUAAUUUGAUAAAGACUAACUUAUGCGAAAGCAUUUGCCAAGGAUGUUUUCAUUG
RNAcentral lists this ribosomal RNA (378 nucleotides) under Strombidiidae sp. RNAcentral describes it as "partial small subunit ribosomal RNA". It matches the Rfam family "Eukaryotic small subunit ribosomal RNA", at positions 582 to 975 of the family's 1831-position model. The record is from RNAcentral. Lineage: Eukaryota; Ciliophora; Spirotrichea; Strombidiidae.